CUUUUCUCUUCUCGCCUGGAAUUUAGUCAUGAAGUCUAGACUACAAUGGCCAUAUUGUGACCAAGAAGUUAGAAAUAUGGUAUGAGGAAAAGGCAAGACAACCCCAGAGAUGAGCCCUGAUUUCAAGUGGCCACUGAACCAAUACCAACAGCCAUCUACAACCAGGACUCCAUCUUCACCUCUUCUUCAGUCCUUUCUCUUGGAUGAAGUUCUCAGCAUCUCUCUGUGGGCCUGUGAAAGUGCGGAUACCAUCCAGGAUACCUGACCAGUUUCUACAACCAGACAUAUUCCUAGAUUCUCCUGUAGUUCUUAACUAGGAUCAAUCCACAGCUCUCUAGGCUGGGACCUGGUGGAAUGUAAGCUCCAUCAGGGAAGGGUCUUUUACUGAGCGUUUAUCACUGUAUUCCUAACACAUAGCACAAGCCUGUCACAUAGCAGGAGUUUAAUAAAUAUUUAUUAAAUGAAUAAUUGAA
Molecule: long non-coding RNA, 473 nt
Organism: Homo sapiens (human)
Lineage: Eukaryota; Metazoa; Chordata; Mammalia; Primates; Hominidae
Exons: 2
Source: RefSeq, a predicted model, not a curated record